GAUCAUGGCUCAGAGUGAACGCUGGCGGCAGGCCUAAUACAUGCAAGUCGAACGGCAGCACAGCAGAGCUUGCUCUGUGGGUGGCGAGUGGCGGACGGGUGAGGAAUACAUGGGAAUCUGCCCAGUCGUGGGGGAUAACGUAGGGAAACUUACGCUAAUACCGCAUGCGCCCUUCGGGGGAAAGCCGGGGACCUUCGGGCCUGGCGCGAUUGGAUGAGCCCAUGUCGGAUUAGCUAGUUGGCGGGGUAAUGGCCCACCAAGGCGACGAUCCGUAGCUGGUCUGAGAGGAUGAUCAGCCACACUGGAACUGAGACACGGUCCAGACUCCUACGGGAGGCAGCAGCAGGGAAUAUUGGACAAUGGGCGCAAGCCUGAUCCAGCCAUGCCGCGUGAGUGAAGAAGGCCCUCGGGUUGUAAAGCUCUUUUGUCCGGAAAGAAAAGCGCCGGGUUAAUACCCUAGUGUCCUGACGGUACCGGAAGAAUAAGCACCGGCUAACUUCGUG
This 503-nucleotide ribosomal RNA is filed under the name uncultured bacterium. Its description in RNAcentral is "bacterial SSU rRNA". It matches the Rfam family "Bacterial small subunit ribosomal RNA", at positions 15 to 507 of the family's 1533-position model. The record is from RNAcentral.